Molecule: ribosomal RNA, 693 nt
Filed under: uncultured Agaricomycetes
Lineage: Eukaryota; Fungi; Basidiomycota; Agaricomycetes
Description: eukaryotic LSU rRNA
Rfam family: 5.8S ribosomal RNA (bases 243-396)
Source: RNAcentral
CUUGGUCAUUUAGAGGAAGUAAAAGUCGUAACAAGGUUUCCGUAGGUGAACCUGCGGAAGGAUCAUUAAUGAAUUAACUUGGGGGUUGAUGCUGGCUUUGAUGCAUGUGCUCGCCCCCAUAAUUCUAUCCCAUACACCUGUGCACAUCUUGAAGGUUCGAGGGGAUGUCUCCUCGACCUUCUUCUUACAAACUCUUUACUAAUAAUCGAACGUGAUUGUGCCGAAAGGCCGUAAACUUAUACAACUUUUAACAACGGAUCUCUUGGCUCUCGCAUCGAUGAAGAACGCAGCGAAUUGCGAUAAGUAAUGUGAAUUGCAGAAUUCAGUGAAUCAUCGAAUCUUUGAACGCACCUUGCGCUCCCUGGUAUUCCGGGGAGCACGCCUGUUCGAGUGUCGUGAAAUACCUCAAGCUGGAUGCUUUGUUGCUAUCUUGGCUUGGACUUGGACUUUGCCGCGCAUGACUUUAUGGUUGUGGCGGCUGGUCUUAAAUGCAUUAGCUGACCCAUGAUGUAUCUUUGGUUCUACUCGGCGUGAUAAGUUAUGACCGCUGAGGACAUCUGCUUUUGGGCGGAUGGCCAGGAGUGCCUUGGAUUGCUUCCAAUCUGUCUGUCCUUUGCGGCGACAACCUUUCAACAUUGGCCUCGAAUCAGGUGGGACUACCCGCUGAACUUAAGCAUAUCAAUAAGCGGAGGA